RNAcentral lists this transfer RNA (72 nucleotides) under Marmota monax (woodchuck). RNAcentral's name for it is "tRNA.Ser". Lineage: Eukaryota; Metazoa; Chordata; Mammalia; Rodentia; Sciuridae. The record is from RNAcentral.
GAGGGUGUAGCUCAGUGGUAGAUCUCUUGCCUACUGGGUGCAAAGUCCUGGGUUAGAUCCUCAGCACUUCCA